AUGGAUCCUCCUUAAUAUCGCAGAUCGUUCCUCGAUUCGCAUCGAUCGCGAGGGCCUCGAGAGGGCGGUGGAGCAGGCGGCGGAUCGCAGUUAGGGUUCUUCUUCUUCCGGUAUGGAGCAGGAGCGGCAGAAGCUGGAGACGGCGGAGAAGUCGGAGUUCGAGUCCCCUAACAUCCCGAUCCUGUGCGCCAACAACUGCGGCUUCUUCGGAAGCCCCGCGACGAACGACCUCUGCUCCAAAUGCUACAAGGACUACUACUUGACUAAAUCCAAGGCGUCGAUGGAGACGCUCGCAAUCCCGCUGGCCGUUGAUCCAAAACUGCUUGAAGAGAAGCCGAUCGUAGCCGACGCGAUCGACGCUGGGUCUGCGAGCUUGGGCGGGUACGGCGAUGCGGCGUCGGAGAGCUCUGACGCGCCGCCGAAGAAUCGCUGCGGUUGCUGCAAUAAGAAGGUGGGAUUGAUGGGGUUUAAGUGCCGCUGUGGGGAGGUGUUCUGUUCUGUCCACAGGUACUCCGACAAGCACGAUUGUACCUUCGACUACAAGGCUUCUGGCCAGGAGGCGAUCUCCAAGGCAAACCCUGUGGUAAAGAUGGACAAGCUUGACAAAAUUUGACGUCCAUGACCUCCUCAUUGAUUCCAGGAAACAGAAGUUUAGGAUUCUGUUAGUGAUUAGCAGGAAUUGAAAUUUUAUAGAGGAACCUCUUCAAGCCAUCCAAGCCGGCUGCGAUCAUAUCCCCAGCCAUUAUUGUCCGACCUAUGCCAAGUAUAGCCGAGAUGUAUCAGUUUCUCUUGAUUUUGAUGGCUCAAUGGAGGUGACAGCCUUGGGAGUUUCUUUGAGUUCUUGCGACUUUCGACAAACUGACUUUAGAGGUUAGGCCUGAUAGGAAUCUUUCUGAGGGUCCUCCAUGAGAUUUGCAUUGCUUAGUAUUAUUCAAAAGAGAUAUGAAGGUUGUAUCUUGAGAUGGCUUUAUCUUUCUGUCACGAUCAUUGCCAUCACUGAGAAAGGUCCAAAAUUUGUUCCUUUUAACAAUUGAUGGGGACGUGGAACCAAGAGGUUCCACUAGCUCUCAGAUAAUAUCUGUUGAGGUUUGGUUCUUCAGAUUUGAUUUUGGUUCAAGCAGAAAAGUCUAUAUUCAAAGUAUUAUUAUUAUUAUUAAUUUUUAUGUGUGAAAACUUGACUGGUGUGGUUGAGC
Molecule: RNA transcript, 1193 nt
Organism: Zingiber officinale
Lineage: Eukaryota; Viridiplantae; Streptophyta; Magnoliopsida; Zingiberales; Zingiberaceae
Gene name: zinc finger A20 and AN1 domain-containing stress-associated protein 6-like
Exons: 3
Source: RefSeq, a predicted model, not a curated record